GCAGGGGGAGCAGGAUGAGCAGGAUGAGCAGGGGGAGCAGGAUGGGCAGGAUGGGCAGGGGGAGCAGGAUGGGCAGGGGGAGCAGGGGGAGCAGGAUGAGCAGGGGGAGCAGGAUGAGAAGGAUGAGAAGGAUGCAGCCGCAGGCGCUGAGGAGCAGGGUGAGGGGCUGGCAGGUUGAAUUAGUGCUGGGAGAGCAGAUGCACAUUUAAACAAACCAUCCGCUCUCAAGAAGAAAACAAUGACUUAGUACUUCCUAAUUACCAUCCUAAAGUCAAGCAAUUACUCCUUAUUCACACGUGAUUACCAAGAAUAGCUUAAAAUGAAUAAACAUUUAAAAAAAAAAAAAAGCCUCUUACUAAAUUUUCAUUAGCCACCACAGUGAGUAAGAUAUUUACACUCGGCACAGCCCCCGUAAACACAGACAAGACAUUACUCAGUAAAUGAGUGAAUUAGUAUUGUGCUAAUUGCUAGAAAUUAUUAUCAGGUUACUACAAUUCCCGGCAGGAUCAACCCCGUUUGUUAUUUUUUGAAAAAUAAAAGAGAAAUCUUAGUGAUGUGGUUGAUGCAGUUAUAAAUAAUUGAGGGGGCAAGGGGCUGUUCCUCAGUGGAACCAGGAGAGGGGACGGAAAUGGUUAAAGCCCACAUGGCAGCUCAUACUUUAUUUCUGAGACCGUGGCUCUGGGGUAUGUCUGGGACAGGGCUGUGGGUGUUUUGGGUAGGAACUGGCAGGGGUGGAAGUGAUGGAAGUGGGAAAACGCACGAAAGCACAAGAAGAUGAUUUCAGCUUGUGCAUCUCUCUCUUCAUCAUCCCCAGCCGCCCAAACCCCCGCAGGGACAGCAGGCCCUUUACUGUGGGUGUCACUCCAGGAAUCCCAUCCCACCAGCCUGCCCACUCCCAAAUCCCAGCCUCACCAUUUCCUCACCGCCUUCACUGCCUGGGGCUCCAGAGCUGAAUUGGCCUUCUGCUCUCUGCCCAUCAGCACAGCUUUCUGCCAGGGGGAACUCUCACUUUCCGCCGAGACAAUUACGGAACCCUCGCCGAGAGCCUCUUGAAGGAAUGGCAGCCUCUGCUCCAGCUCUGAUUGCAGACGGGGGAAGUUGCUUUUCCAAGGGUCUGGCUGAUUAGGAAUCGAGCUCCAUCUCCCUGUUACCUGCAGAUGGGAUUUUUGUCUGUAUUAAACUAACAGUUUAAAGCCUCUUAAUUAUUGCAACGGCAGCUUGCGCUUUGCUGGGGUGGAGGUUUCUUUUUUAGCCUUUCUGGGAAGUUUUCAUUUCCUUUUCCUGGCUCUUGCUGUUCUGGGGAGCAGCCAUGCAGGCACACCAGGGGAGGCAUUUUGCUGCUCCUCUGUUUUGCUCUCCUCCAGCUCACUCCAUAUUUUUCACAUCCCUCACUGCCACUUCCAACCCCACCUUCCCAGGCUGAUACAGGCCCAUCAAGACUAUAAUCAGAAUAAAGUCAAUUAAGGACAGGAUUAGACUGAGGGG
Molecule: long non-coding RNA, 1485 nt
Filed under: Cyanistes caeruleus (blue tit)
Lineage: Eukaryota; Metazoa; Chordata; Aves; Passeriformes; Paridae
Description: lncRNA (ENSCCEG00000007610.1)
Source: RNAcentral